Molecule: ribosomal RNA, 465 nt
Filed under: uncultured bacterium
Lineage: Bacteria
Description: partial 16S ribosomal RNA
Rfam family: Bacterial small subunit ribosomal RNA
Source: RNAcentral
CUACGGGAGGCUGCAGUGGGGAAUAUUGGACAAUGGGGGAAACCCUGAUCCAGCAAUGCCGCGUGUGUGAAGAAGGCCUGCGGGUUGUAAAGCACUUUCGGUUGGGAGGACUGCUUCUAGCACUAAUAUUGUUGGAAGUUGACGUUACCUUCAGAAGAGGCACCGGCUAACUCCGUGCCAGCAGCCGCGGUAAUACGGAGGGUGCAUGCGUUAAUCGGAAUUACUGGGCGUAAAGCGCGCGUAGGCGGCUAGAUCAGUCGGGUGUGAAAGCCCCGGGCUUAACCUGGGAACUGCAUCCGAUACUGUCUAGCUUGAGUACAGGAGAGGAGAGUGGAAUUCCACAUGUAGCGGUGAAAUGCGUAGAUAUGUGGAGGAACACCAAUGGCGAAGGCAGCUCUCUGGCCUGAUACUGACGCUGAGGUGCGAAAGCGUGGGGAGCAAACAGGAUUAGAUACCCUUGUAGUC